CAGGCCUAACACAUGCAAGUCGAACGGGUAGUAGCAAUACUACUAGUGGCGCACGGGUGCGUAACACGUAGCUAACCUGCCCAGAACUGGGGGAUAGCCCGCCGAAAGGCGGAUUAACACCGCAUAACAUCAGGUGGCGGCAUCGUCUCUUGAUUAAAUCUACGGAGGUUCUGGAUGGGGCUGCGGGUCAUUAGCUAGUUGGUCAGGUAACGGCUUACCAAGGCGACGAUGACUAGGGGAGCUGAGAGGCUGGUCCCCCACACGGGCACUGAGAUACGGGCCCGACUCCUACGGGAGGCAGCAGUGGGGAAUAUUGGACAAUGGGCGCAAGCCUGAUCCAGCCAUGCCGCGUGUGUGAAGAAGGCCUUUUGGUUGUAAAGCACUUUAAGCGAGGAGGAGGCUACUUAGAUUAAUACUCUAGGAUAGUGGACGUUACUCGCAGAAUAAGCACCGGCUAACUCUGUGCCAGCAGCCGCGGUAAU
RNAcentral lists this ribosomal RNA (482 nucleotides) under uncultured bacterium. Its description in RNAcentral is "bacterial SSU rRNA". It matches the Rfam family "Bacterial small subunit ribosomal RNA", at positions 43 to 524 of the family's 1533-position model. The record is from RNAcentral.